RNAcentral lists this unclassified non-coding RNA (2910 nucleotides) under Hevea brasiliensis (rubber tree). The record is from RNAcentral. Lineage: Eukaryota; Viridiplantae; Streptophyta; Magnoliopsida; Malpighiales; Euphorbiaceae.
CUCGCUCGCCUUUGAUAACACUGAGAAGUUGACAAAAAAAUGGAGUUGUGAAGAAUGACUCUUGAGAGUAAGUGUUUUAGGCUAAGUAGAAGUAAAAUAAAAUGUAUGCAUUAUUAGUUUAGCUUUCCUAAAAGAAAUGGAAGCUAAAUUUGAUUGGAUGGACUUUUGGCGCUAAAAUACAACAAAUUCAAUAUUUGGUUUUUAUUAUCCGGAAGAAUGGAGUAAUAGACGGAUCAAAACAAAAUAGAUGAAAUAGAAGAGUGUGACGGGUGUCCAAUGUAACCAUAGUAUUCCUAACAAAGUGAAAAGUAAAUUCUAGAAAUGAUGGUUUAGCCUGUUGUGUUGUAUGAGAGUGAAUGUUGGGUAUCUGAGCUACAACAUAAACUUAAGAUAAAUAACAAAAAUAUAGAUGCUAAUAUGGAUGUAUGGUAAUAUGAUAAUUGAUAAUAUUGGAAAUGAAUAUAUUUGCUAGAAAGUGUAUAUAGCACAUAUUCGGUAUAAAAUGAGAUGGCCAAUUAUGAUGUUUGGUAAUGUCCAACCUAAAGAAUCCAAUGUCCCAGUACGGAAGUGUGAUAAAUUAGUGGUGGAAGUAGUGAUAAGGAAAAUGUGAGAUCUAACAUUACGUAGAAGGAAGUAAUAUUAAAAGAUUUAUAAUUUUUUUUGAUAUUGAUGCGGAAUUGGUUUCAAACAGAGUUGAAUGGUGAAAAAGGAUCCAUUUAGUUGACCUAAUUAGCUUAGGAUUAAGGCUUAGUUUUUGAUUUUGUUGUUGGAAAACCUCGUGAUUGUAUUUGAAUGGCCUAUUUUUUACUGAAUAUAGAAUAUUGCUAAAUUUGCAAAAAACUUUUGCGAGUACAAAUUUCUUCCUUUCCCUUUGGUAGAGAAAUUAUAAAUACAUUAUAAUGGUUCUUAUAUCAUACUAGUGGUAUUGUUUUCCGGUUAAGGAUGGUGAUUAAUAUGCAUGUAGUUGGAUACUAUUAAGAAUUACAAAGUUAUAGCUGGUGUGGCUCUAUCUACUGAGCAUACUAGUUGUUUAAAAUGUGAAGUUAAGAGUAGAAUGAGUGAGGAAAAGUGAUUUAUACAACCUAGAGCUAGAUGGUGGUACCUAAAAGGCAUGAACCAAAUAGCUUCUAGGGAAAUACUAUUAAUAAAAAGAUGCGAAAUUUAGACAAUAAUGUUAAUAACGCAUGGAGAUCGAUGGUGAGCUACAUUAAGAAGUUAGCAGUGGAUAUAUUAGAUGUAUCCUAGGGUAGUGGACCAUGUGCAUGACAAUCUUGGUGGUAGAGCGAGGAGUUUCAAAAAGCUAUUAAGAUUGAAAGAGAAUGGUAUAAAAAGUUACCAACGACAAAAAAAUUGGGGAGACAUUUGAGAAAUAUAAUUUGGCAAUAAGAGAAGUUAAGAAAAGAAUUAGCGAGGCUCAUGAUAAAUCUCUAGCUAAUUUGUACAAAAAGUUGGGAACACGAUAAUGGGAGAAGAAGAUGUACGAGGUAGCAUGGUUGAAGGAAAAGAGGGGUAGAGAUCUAAAUCAAGUCAAGUGCAUUAAAUAUGAUAAUGAACAAGUUCUUUCAGGAUGUAGUGAGAUGAUAGAGAGAUGGAGAUGCUACUUUGAUCAACCAUUCAAUGUGAUUCAUGAGGAUGAUUUUAUAGACCUUAAUGUGCCUUUGACAGAGAAGAAGACACUCGUAGAAUCAGGUUUAUUGACAUUAAAAAGGCCAUGAGAAUAUGAAAAAAGACAGAUCUUGCAGCUCAAAAGGUAUCCCUGUAUAAGUAUAGAAGUGCCUUAAUAAGGGUGGAUAGCUUGGCUAAUCAAGCUAUUUAAUGGCAUACUAAAAUCUUUUAAAAUGCUAAAUGAGUGAAGAAAUUUGGUUCCAAUCUUUGAGAACAAAGGAGACAUCCAAAGUUGUACAUGACAUUGUGACAUUAAAUUGAUGAGUCACAUGAUAAAGCAAUAAGAAAAAGUGAUUGAACACAGAGUUAGGGCUAUUACUAAGGUAUUAAAGAACCAAUUUGGCUUAUUACCUGGUAGAUGUAUAAUAGAGCCUAGCUUUCUAUUUGGAAUAUUAAUGAAAAUUUAUUGGGAGAGAAAAAAGGAUCUCUACAUGGUAUUCAUUGACUUAGAAAGACGUGAUAAAGCACCGAGUAAAGUUCUUUGGUGGGUGCUGGAGAAGAAAGGAGUUCAUUUCAAAUAUAUAAAUGUAAUUAUGGAAAAGUACGAGGGGAUGAUUACAAAUGUAAGAGCAGUAGGAGGGGAUGCGGACAACUUCCGCAUAACAGUGGAUUUACUUCAAUGAUCGACAUUGAAUCCGUAAAUGUUUGCCUUAGUUAUAGAUGAGCAAACCAUUCAAAUUUAAGAUGAUGUCCUAUGGUAUAUGUUAUUUUUAGAUGAUAUUGUGUUAGUGGAUGAAACUAGCGACUAAGUUAACAAAAAAUUGGAGCUGUGGAGGAGUCUUGAAAGUAAGGGCUUUAGGUUAUGUAGAAGUAAGACGUGACAUAUGUAUUGCGAGUUUAGCUAUCGUAGAAGGAGUGAAGAUAAGGUUAGAUUGGACAAAUUUUUGGUGCCAAAAUAAAAUUAAUUUAAGUAUUUAGGUUUUAUCAUCAAGAAUAACAAAGUAAUAGAUGAGCAUAUAACUCACAGGUCAAACCGAGAUAGAUGAAAUGGAAGAGCGGAUGGAUGUGUUAUGCGACCGUAGAUCCAUGAGAAAAUGAAGGUGAGUUCUAUAGAACUAUAGUUGGGCCAACUAUUAUGUAUGAGAUUGGAUAUUGGGCAUCUAAGGUAUAAUAUACCUACAAGAUGAAUGUGAUGAAAAUGCAGAAAUGAAGAUGGAUGUUGGUAACAUACUAACAUGAUAAUGAAUAAGGUUAAAAAUGAUCACAGUUUCUAAAUAAUAUAUAUAGCACAUAUUGGAGAUAAAA